UGGGGAAUUUGGACAAUGGGCGAAAGCCUGAUCCAGCAAUGCCGCGUGUGUGAAGAAGGCCUUCGGGUUGUAAAGCACUUUUGUCCGGAAAGAAAUCCUUGGCUCUAAUACAGUCGGGGGAUGACGGUACCGGAAGAAUAAGCACCGGCUAACUACGUGCCAGCAGCCGCGGUAAUACGUAGGGUGCAAGCGUUAAUCGGAAUUACUGGGCGUAAAGCGUGCGCAGGCGGUUUGCUAAGACCGAUGUGAAAUCCCCGGGCUCAACCUGGGAACUGCAUUGGUGACUGGCAGGCUAGAGUAUGGCAGAGGGGGGUAGAAUUCCACGUGUAGCAGUGAAAUGCGUAGAGAUGUGGAGGAAUACCGAUGGCGAAGGCAGCCCCCUGGGCAAUACUGACGCUCAUGCACGAAAGCGUGGGGAGCAAACAGGAUUAGAUACCCUGGUAGUCCACGCCCUAAACGAUGUCAACUAGUUGUUGGGGAUUCAUUUCCUAGUAACGUAGCUAACGCGUGAAGUUGACCGCCUGGGGAGUACGGUCGCAAGAUUAAAACUUAAAUGAAUUG
RNAcentral lists this ribosomal RNA (561 nucleotides) under uncultured bacterium. RNAcentral's name for it is "partial 16S ribosomal RNA". It matches the Rfam family "Bacterial small subunit ribosomal RNA", at positions 356 to 912 of the family's 1533-position model. The record is from RNAcentral.